GAUACGGGUGCGGGUGGCCCGAUCUUUUCAUGAGAUUGAUAACUCUCGAUUUGUGUAGGAGGUGACGUUGACGAUCCGACUACGGCCUAGGAGGCAGCGCCUUAGCAAUCGAUACACCAACUCCAGAGGGUUAUUGAUCACGCGGGGGCACGAUCAACCUGACCACGAAGGUCUUUGUUCCUCCAAUCAAUCAAAGAACAAUCAAGAACAAGAUAAAUAGC
RNAcentral lists this long non-coding RNA (221 nucleotides) under Brachypodium distachyon (stiff brome). RNAcentral's name for it is "long non-coding RNA (BDIS_LNC003324)". The record is from RNAcentral. Lineage: Eukaryota; Viridiplantae; Streptophyta; Magnoliopsida; Poales; Poaceae.